GAAAAGCCCGCUCGCCGGAAGACCAAGGGUUCCUGUCCAACGUUAAUCGGGGCAGGGUGAGUCGACCCCUAAGGCGAGGCCGAAAGGCGUAGUCGAUGGGAAACGGGUUAAUAUUCCCGUACUUGGUGUUACUGCGAAGGGGGGACGGAGAAGGCUAUGUUGGCCGGGCGACGGUUGUCCCGGUUUAAGCGUGUAGGUGUGUGUUCCAGGUAAAUCCGGUUCACUUUAACACUGAGGCGUGAUGACGAGGCACUACGGUGCUGAAGCAACAAAUGCCCUGCUUCCAGGAAAAGCCUCUAAGCAUCAGGUAACAUCAAAUCGUACCCCAAACCGACACAGGUGGUCAGGUAGAGAAUACCAAGGCGCUUGAGAGAACUCGGGUGAAGGAACUAGGCAAAAUGGUGCCGUAACUUCGGGAGAAGGCACGCUGACAC
RNAcentral lists this ribosomal RNA (434 nucleotides) under Salmonella enterica. RNAcentral's name for it is "partial 23S ribosomal RNA". It matches the Rfam family "Bacterial large subunit ribosomal RNA", at positions 1323 to 1757 of the family's 2925-position model. The record is from RNAcentral. Lineage: Bacteria; Pseudomonadati; Pseudomonadota; Gammaproteobacteria; Enterobacterales; Enterobacteriaceae. RNAcentral also lists the same sequence under 1 other name.